This 495-nucleotide ribosomal RNA is filed under the name uncultured bacterium. Its description in RNAcentral is "partial 16S ribosomal RNA". It matches the Rfam family "Bacterial small subunit ribosomal RNA", at positions 28 to 507 of the family's 1533-position model. The record is from RNAcentral.
GACGAACGCUGGCGGCGUGCCUAAUACAUGCAAGUAGAACGCUGAAGGAGGAGCUUGCUUCUCUGGAUGAGUUGCGAACGGGUGAGUAACGCGUAGGUAACCUGCCUGGUAGCGGGGGAUAACUAUUGGAAACGAUAGCUAAUACCGCAUAAUAGCAGUUAUUGCAUGAUAACUGUUUGAAAGGUACAAUUGCACCACUACCAGAUGGACCUGCGUUGUAUUAGCUAGUUGGUGGGGUAACGGCUCACCAAGGCGACGAUACAUAGCCGACCUGAGAGGGUGAUCGGCCACACUGGGACUGAGACACGGCCCAGACUCCUACGGGAGGCAGCAGUAGGGAAUCUUCGGCAAUGGACGGAAGUCUGACCGAGCAACGCCGCGUGAGUGAAGAAGGUUUUCGGAUCGUAAAGCUCUGUUGUAAGAGAAGAACGAGUGUGAGAGUGGAAAGUUCACACUGUGACGGUAGCUUACCAGAAAGGGACGGCUAACUACGUG